Molecule: long non-coding RNA, 361 nt
Organism: Acipenser ruthenus (sterlet)
Lineage: Eukaryota; Metazoa; Chordata; Actinopteri; Acipenseriformes; Acipenseridae
Exons: 3
Source: RefSeq, a predicted model, not a curated record
GUGGAUUCAGAACCACAGCAGGUAUCUGGCUUUGUUAUAAACUUUCUUUUUUCUCUCUUUCUUGUUACAGAAGCAGAAUCCUCGAGGCCCCCUUCCACUCCGGUCUCUCAAGAUAAGAUGGCAACAGCAAGGGUCAAACUAAACGUACCCAAAGGAGUGAAUCUUGAAGACCCUAAAGUGAGCGAAGCCAUUUUAGAGCAGAUUCGGGAGCAUCUCUCCAAGAACUUUCCAAUGGACGGUGUUAAUCUGCGCUGGAGAAAACAAGACGGGAAGAUAUUCCACAAGGAGGAGGAGGAGGAGGAGGAGAUGGAGAAGUACUUCAAGCCGUGAGAUACCAGCACCCACAAUGACAAGCGUGGGC